This 12819-nucleotide long non-coding RNA is filed under the name Marmota monax (woodchuck). The stretch from base 6633 to 6701 matches the Rfam family "tRNA". The record is from RNAcentral. Lineage: Eukaryota; Metazoa; Chordata; Mammalia; Rodentia; Sciuridae.
GCUCAUGAUCACAGAGCUAAUCUCUCACAGCCUGGCUCCUGCAUCCACUCUUUUAACCUACUACUCUUUGCUACUGGUUUAUGUACAGUUCCCCAGCAUUCCCUUGGAGAUUCCAUGCCUGAUUUUACAAAAUCUCUCUCCCCAGGUAUAACACUUUCUGCUGGGUGUUGGGCAAUGUGCACAUCCCUCUGAAAUGUCCACGUGGCUCCUCGGAUGUCCGCUGGCUGUCACAGGUUCACAGGCAUCUGUUCUGUAGGAGACCUCAGUAUCUGACUUUCUUUCUCUUCCAGAAUCAGGGCAUAAGGAAGCAAUUUCUACCCAUACAGACUUUAAGACAUAAAAUUGCAGCACAUCACAAACUCUUCAUCCUUGUAUGAAGUGCCCUGCCUCCACACAAACAAGGAUACGAUCUUGGGAUCUGUCACCAAUCAGGGUGAGUUUGCAAGGAGUCUUCCAGGCCCUUGGGAACAGGGUCAUGAAUUUUUUAGAUGGUUGGCUGGAGUGGCUCAGAGCUGGAGGACAGACCUUCCGGUGAGUGUAGCAAACUGGUCUGGAGAGAAGCCCGUGACCUUGGCCUCCUUGCCCUGGGAUUCCAGGUGGGGACCUGAACAUCCCAGGGUGCUUCCCUAGUCCUCUGACCUUCCUUAGGUCCCUCCUGUGUGCUGGUUUCCCUGGUGAGAACUGGGCGAGCCGAGAAGGAUUUACAGAAAGGCAGGGUGACUUGUCUUUCUGCUGUGAACCUCUGACUUGUGUUUGGGCCUCACUGUUAUACACAGAGAUAUGUCUCCAGCUCUUCCAUGCCUCCUGCCAGCUUCCUGCUGGUAGUUCCCAAGGCCUUCUCCGCCCCCAGAAUGCUUUUCCUAGAUCCUCUUCCCACAGGGCCCCAAAGCUAAGCUGCCUGGAAGUAGUGGGAAGUGAAUUCCUGCUAAAACAUCUGAAUUCUCUGCACAUUGCAUUUUUAUCUUCCUGGGGACAUCAAAACUGAAAAGUUUAAGAGUAGGAGUGGAAUGUCAGGUUCCCUGCCGUGAGAGGGAUUUCGGGGUCUGCUGUCUUAGUACAUAAUAUCAGAGACCAGGUAGUUUAUGAUCACGAUUUUUAGAGGCUGGAAGUCCAAGAUCAAGGCACUGGCAGAUCUGGUGUCUGAUGAGGGCCUCUUUCUGGUUCAUAGAGAGCCAUCUUCUCACUGUGUCCUCACAUGGUCAAAGGACAAAAGCAGCAUUCUGGGUUUUUGCUGUUGGUGGUAGAUUUUUUUUUUUUUUUUGGUACUGGGGAUUGAACCUAGCAGUGCUUUUAUCACUGAACCACAUUCCCAGAACAUUUAAUUUUUUAUUUUGAGACAGGGUCUCACUAAGUUGCUGAAGUUGGCCUCAAACUUGUGCUCUUCCUGUCUCAGCCUCUUGAGUCACUAGGAUUACAGGCAUGAGUCACCACACCCGGCUUCUGGGGCUUCUUUCAUAAAGAUACUAAUCCUAUUCAUGAGGACUCUGGCCUCAUGACCUAAUCACUUCCCCAGAUCCUACUCCUAAUGUUAUCACUUUAGUAAUUAAGUUUUCAACAUACAAAUCUGGGGGGAACGCAUUCUGUCUAUAGCAGCUGUUGUCCAGUAGACCUUCCUAUGUGUGGACAUGCAUCUGAAAUUGGCCCUGGUGUCAGGGCCAGGCCCACAGGUGUCCUCAAGUCCAGAAUUAAAACCUUUACUUUAGAGCCACAGUGCUCCCCCUGUCCCCUGCCCCCACCACCAGUUUGUAGGACUCAUUAAAUCUAGGACCCAGAUCCCGGUAGGCGUGGGGUUCAGUUUAGGCAACUGGAGUAGAGGCCUUUGUCCAGUGGGGUAUUUCCUCUGACGUCACUGGGCUGAUCGUCAAGGCUCCAAGGUGGGUCUCUGCCAGGAAAACCUGAACUGAAGAGGAGGAGAUUUGGCCUUCGGGGAAGAGGGCCUGUGUCCUGGCAGGCCGGACGUGCCUGCCCCGGGCUGGCUUCUUUUUGCUGCUGAUUCUCUGGGUUAGUGCACUUUUGACCCAAGAGGAGGGAAAAAAGGGAACAAACAGUGGAACUGUGACUGUCAGAUGUUGCGGGAGGGACUUUUGAACCGGUGGGAUGGUGACGGCCAUCAGAGGCUGCCGUCUUCCCUGGCCCGUCCCCCUUCCCACCUCCUGCCCUCACCUCUGUCCUCCCUACUCUACUUCUGAACGCCAGCUGCCUGGGCGACACCUUUUGCUUCCCAAGCCUCCUUUGUUGUUUUUCCUUGAUCCCUUUCUCAAAAAUAUUCUCCUCUCUUUCCAUCCGCUCAGUGCCAGACUCCUGGCAUCUGACUUGCCGGCUUGCGCAGGCUGCCAUCUCUCUCUCUGGCUCACCACGGUUUUAUAAUUGCCUCUGGUUAAAGUUUAAAUAGAUGGGUUUCAGCCCAAGAGAAAAAUGUAAACAAGCCCUCUCUGCAGUCUUUCAGAACUGCUGGCCUCCAGUGCUUCUGGAUUCUGUGCUAGGGGAUUCGUCCUGCUCCUCCCUAACCCCGGGAGCUGAGACAGGCCGCUGGCCUUUCAGAGCCACGAAGGCCUCUCUGAAGCCAUCAAGCUAUUGAGAGACUUUUAGAUGGCCUGGCACUGUUCCUUUUAACUCAAUCAAGCCAGCAGGAUCCGGUUCCCAUUCUAGCCAGGGUAUCUGGUGUGAUCAGGUGAAACAGGGUAGCAGUCCUCAUGGGCCGGCUUCUAGAUAGGAAGGAAGUGACAGGGAUUGUCAUUUCCCUGCUGGAAUUUUUUUCUCUGGGGGAGGAUGGGGUUGGAUUUGCUGCCCUGGGGUUUUGGCAGUUGAGAUGGUCUCAGGAGUCAUUAGAAUGGGGCCAUGUGGAGCCAUCACAGCAGGGAGAGGUAGGCCAGGGUUGAGCUCCUGUGUUCAGGCACAGAUCCCCUUCUUUGCUGUGAUUUCUCAGAAGUAAGCAGGCCUUCUUUGUCUUUUUAAUUUUAUUUUAAUUGUUGGGAGUUUUUAUUUGUUUGAGUCUUGAUUAAGAAUAUUGAUUUUCUGGGGCUGGGGUUGUGGCUCAGUGGUAGAGCACUUGCCUUGCAUGUGUGACGCACUGGGUUUGAUUCUCAGCACCACAUAUAAAUAAAUGAAUAAAAUAAAGAUCCAUCAACAACUAAACAAAAAAAAAGAAUAUUGAUUUUCUAUCUUUUUCUGCUUUGUGUACUUUGUGUACUUAUGAUCUGGUGUCAGAUGGAUUCAGCAAUAACUUGGAAUGUUUUAGUCACAAAUUUGAUUGAAUGAUUACCUUCCCCUACUCAAAAACCUUCAGUGUGUCCCUGUCUUCAGUUCAGGGUCUUAGGCCUGGUUCUGUCUUCACCUUGCACCAUGCCAGUCCUGAUGAACUCAGGUGACCUCUUCCUCCCUACUCCUGUGACCCAUUCCCUCACUCUGCAGUGUCCUAACCCUCUGCCCCACCCCUGCCCUGCUUAGCAUCUGCUCAGAAACAUCUUCCUGUGUUCUGUGGGGUCCCCUACCCUCCCUCAGCAACCAAGGCCAAGCAUCCUCCCUUUAGUUCUCCAACAGCCACGCCCACCCCCUUUCCUGUAACCCUAUUUCGUUGUCUGAUUUUCAGCCUGUUCCAUCAGCCUUGCACUUGAUACUUAGCUCUUUGGUUGUAGGAUGAUUUUGUUUUUCUAUCCCCAUAGUCAUGUGUGACCCACUGGUCAGUGCUCAAUAACUAUUUAAUCUUUGUUUUUCAGCCUCUCUGAAAAGAUGUCAAUAUUUUUAAAACAGAGGAACCAAAAGGAGUGAAGGAAGGAUUGGGGAGUCAUUAGAUUUGGGUUCAAACCGAAGUUCUGCUGAGGUUAGUACUAGGACUGCUUCCCGGUCACCACCCUUUCCCACCUUCACUUUCUUUGCAGGUAAAACGAACACAAUAAGCUGAUUUCUAUGGGUUUUUGUGCAAAUUAAAACGACAUCUUUCAAGUAAAGAACCUAACACAGUUCCAUCUCGUCCUUAUCCUCUCCUGAUUUCAAAACAAUUUGAAUCUUAUCAACCAAUUUAAAAGACAGGUGCCACGUUCUCCCAUUACUCACACAGCCCUCCUUGAUGGAAGCAUUUCUUCUCAUUCACACUUGCAAGUUUGUGAAAGGCUAUUUUUUGGGGGGUGUCAUUGGACUUAUUUAUUGUUCAUUAGAAGUUCUCUCAAUGAGGCUGGGGUUGUGGUUCAGUGGUAGAGUGCUUGCCUAGCAUGCAUGAGGCACUGGGUUCAAUCCCUGGUAUCGCAUAAAAAUAACCAAAUUAAAAAAGGCAUUGUGUCCAUCUACAACUAAAAAAAUAUAUAUAUUUAAAAAAAAGAAGAAAAUGGGCUGGGGUUGUGGCUCAGUGGUAGAGCGCUUGCCUUGCACGUGUGAGGCCCUGGGUUUGAUCCUCAGCACCACAUAAAAAAUAAAUAAAUAAAAAUAAAGAUACUGUGUUCAUCUACAACUAAAAAAAAUUUAAAGAAAAAGAAGGAGGAGGAGGAGGAGGAGGAGGAGGAGGAGGAGGAGGAGAAGAAGAAGAAGAAGAAGAAGAAGAAGAAGAAGCUGUUCUCUCAGUGGUAGGGGUGAAGGUGAGGCAGCUGGUGUUCUCUACUGAGUUAAUGUCACAUGUCAUCCAUGGCGUAAUGUCACCUCUUCACUGCCAAUCUUAACUGGAAAGAGAGGAAGAUAUGCCAGGGAGGACCCCUUUUCUUUCCCCCUCCAUCAAAAGUCGGUAGCCAUCUCCCCCAUGGAAGGAGAGUGUGGAUGCCCACCAGGUGCCAGGUGCUAAAAUGAAAGAUGAAUCAGCCAAGGCCCCAGCAUUUUGAAGUUUUCAGUCCAAUGUGCUUGCUGCAGGUUGACAUGGGGCAACUCAUCUAAUUAAACCAGGAUUAUAGGGGUGCAGAGGAGGAGAUAGCACUGCAGGAAAAUCUUGAGAGAGAGGAUGACCUGGACUGAAUCUUGAAAUAUCAGUACACGAAUGUGCCCAGUCAGGACGAAGCCUUUCACUCAGAGGAGCCCAAUCCUUGAUCCUUCCCCUCUGAUCCCUACGUGCAGCCUCCAGCACUGGGCUCUGCCAUCUUUGACUUCAGCUGUGCAGCCAGCUUCUCCUUGCUCCAAGGGCCAUGAUAGCUUCCUUAGAAGCAGCAUUUUUAGUGUCAGAGAAGUGACACUGGGAGCCCGCUGCUGCUUUUGUUGCCAGGGCUAGAGAACAGCUGGAGUGGUUUGCGCUCCCUGGGGGAGGCUGGACAAGCCAGGCUGUGUGCGUGUGUGACUUGUGCGUGGUGUUUGUGUGAGUUGAGAGCGCGUGGGUGUGUGUCCUUGUGGAUGGGCGGCUAGAUGUUUACGUGUAGGUGUUGCCACCGAAAACAGAAGUGGAGAUUCUGAAAACAAAGUGGCAGCUCAGGACCUCACGGGCAGGAAAGGGGGAGGUUGAAACAGCCCCGACCAAAACAAAAACAGAGGAGGAAGUUGCAUCAGAAGAGGAAGAAUGCCAAUGUCAUGCUGAAGAGCCACAAAUGUCACAAAAUAAAAAUAAAAUGUGCUAUUCCUAUUUUACCUAGGCAAAUACUGUUACACUGUUUUCCUCUUUACAGUGUAAUAAGAUUACCGAAAUAAUAUUUUGUGCAGCAAAAGUGAAGAACAACCAGAGAGAGCCACCCACAAACAAAAAUUGCUCUAUUUUUUAAAAAAAUUACAUACAUCAUAUUUUAUUUAUUUGGUUCAGUGAUUGAUUAUAACUUUGCUCUCUACCUGCAUUUAAAGUUUCUUUUUCCUCCAGCACUUAAAAAUAUUAAAAACCAGUUAUGAAACUGAAUUAUUGAAGAACAUUUCAAAGGUCUCCUUACUAUUAGCACAAACUGAGAAAUUCUAAUAAAGGUGUUCGAAUAAUAGCGAAGUGACUGAAGAUAUCAAAGCAAGAAAUAGAGAUCCCAGGGAUGUUAUUUACUUUUUUUCGUUUCAGUUAAAGUAGAAAUGCUAGUCCCUUUACUGAAAAAAUUAGAAGGAUAGUUUUCCUUUUGAUUAGGUUCUCAUAACUACACACAUUUUAAAAAAAAUAUAGGACUGGUUUUAGAUGUAGGGGUUCUAUUUUUUUUUUAAUUUUUUUAGUUGUAGUUGGACACAAUAUCUUUGUUUUAUUUAUUUAUUUUUAUGUGGUGCUGAGGAUUGAACCCAGGGCCUCGCACAUACUAGGUGAAUACUCUACCGCUGAGCCCCAGCCCCAGCCCCAAGAUGUGAGGGUUUUAUAAAAAGGUGAUGUAAUUCUGGGAUGAACUUUGCAUCUGGGGCUCAGCUAAGCCUUUUGAAUCUAUUUCUUUAUAAUUAUAGUCAAGGUUAUUGGCUUUCUAUCACUUUUCUAGAAUUGUAAUGGCAUCAAAUGAUUAACUGAGCUGCCAAUUUUGCCAAUAGUUAAAUGUAUAUUGAAUUUUUGGCAGUGGACUGGGCAAAUUUCAUGUGCUCUGGCUAAAGUAAUUCUCAACUGAAUAAAGUUUUACCACAUAUACUAGUUGACUAGCAAAUGAAGAAAGAAGCUUAGGGUGAGGGAUCAAUCAGACAAAGACAAGCAGCCAGAAAUGGGGAAAUGGAACAACCAAGUAUGCCUUUUGCUCUGUGUAUAUACAAUGGGUGCUCCGUAUAUAAUGUGGAGGGGGGCUGGAGUUGUAGCUCAGUGGUAGAGUGCUUGCCUUGCACACAUGAGGCACUGGGUUUGAUCCUCAGCACCACAUAAAACAAAAAAUAAGUAAAAUAAAGGUUUUGUGUCCAUGUUCAACUAAAAAAUUUUUUUUAAAUAAUGUGGAAGGAAGAAAUGGAUGGAAUGUGUGAAGGAAUAAGUAUAAUGAAAGCAGCUUGAAUGCCUAAUUCAAAAUGAGGUUCAGAUUUGGCUUCAUGAUAGGGUUAUAGCAUAUUUUCCCUUUGAUUUUCAGAAGUUGUGAGACUCUUUAAAAAAGAAAAUAUCAAUAAAAUUAGUUGGGUAAAAAAUUAAAAUAUAUUCAAAACUAAGUUUUUAAUUUUUAAAGUUUAUUUAUGUAUACAAACUUUAUAUAUAUGGUUAUAUAUAAAUUUAAAAAAUAUAUAUUUAUAUAUAUUAAUUUAUAAAUAUAUAUAUAUUUUCAGUGUUACCUUAGGAACAAAAAAUCAUUAGGGGACUGAGGAUGUAACACUUGCCUAACAUGUCCAAGGCCCUGGGCUCAAUCCCCAGCAUCACACAUCACACACGUGUGCACAGACACACACAUCCACAAAUUGGGAAAAAAUAGGUUUAUUCAUAAAAUUAUUAAAUGUUUAGGGUUAUAAUCUAUUCAAAUAAUAAAAAUCCACUAAUUUGAAAUGACCUUUUUCUUCUUAAAACUAAUUACUACUGGGGCUACAAGCUGCUGUAUUUUAUAACAAAUGUCAUUUGGCUUUUGCAACUGAGAGGAAACCAGUAAAAAAUUGGAGAAGAAAUCAUAAACAUCAUAAUAAAAACAAACAGAAGCAGUAAGUUUUAUUUUUUAUGGAUCCACUACCUUCCAUAUAGCAUUUAUUUUCAGAAAAUACAUAGAAAUAAACAUUUAUUUUUAGAAAAUAAUUCAAAGGAGUGGGCAGGGAAGAGGGAGAGAAAUAGACCAAACCCAUGGGCUGCAACAUUUUUUCAAACAAUAUUUUUGUUUAAGGAGUCAAAGUUCCCACAUUCGCCCGUUUCUCUGCUUUCUGAACUUCCACAUCUCUAGGGGCCCUCCACCUGGACAUACAGUUGGCUUUCUGGGUCCACAGUCCAGCAUCCUUGGAUUCAACCAACCAUUCCAUUUCAACCAUUCGAAGUCUUUGAUUUAAAAAAAAAAUUGCAUCUGUCCUGAACAUAUACACUUUUUUUCUUGUCAUUAUUUCCCAAACAAUAUAGUCUAGCACCUAUUUAUACAGCAUUUACAUUGCUGAGAUAUUUUAAGUAAUCUAAGGUCGACUUGAAGCAUACAGGAAGAUUUGCAUAGGAUAUAUGCAAAUACUAUGUCAUUUUAUAUAAGGAACUGGAGCAUUCUUAGAUUUUGUUAUCCCAAGGGGGUCCCGAAACCAAUCUCCUAUGGGUAUGGAGGGAAGACGGUAUUUCCUGACUUGGAAUUUGCCAAAAAUCUAAAACAUUGCUCCAGAGGAAUUACGCAAACUCCCUGGCCCAGCUUGUGUUCUCUUCUGAUGGUGUUCUCAAGGAAUGGGCAGGAGGAAAGACAAGGUGUGAACUACGAGAUGUUACAUUCUGUUUAACGUCGUGGAUCUGUAGCUCUUUCUGUCAAUGAGUGGCAGGCCAUUCUUAAAUUCUGCUCUUCUGCACUGAAGGAUCUUAGCCUCUCUGCCCCUGGAGAGCCAAGGAACUUUGCUCUUUGCCCAAAAUACCUUUCUCACCCGAAGCAGUUUCCCCUCCUCUGAGAAAUGCUGUCGUGUCAGGCUGCACUGCCCUUGAACCAGACAACUUUCUCUGCGUGUCUUUAUCUGUCUAAAUAAAGCUAACCUACAUUUGCUGUCUAAUUCAUUUGGAUGCUUGCUGAUGCUAUUUAAAGCAUCCCUCAAGGCCCAGAGGAAAACAAGAUGCAUUAUCUCCAGUUGGGAACCUUUAGGUUUGCUGGUCAUUUAAGGAAUUCAAGAAUCUUAAGAAUUCAUUCAGUCUGCACUGGUGCUGAUGCAAAGGACAAAGGAACUCUGGAUUUUUAUUCUAGACAGCUUUCUUUGACUCGUGCAUGCCUAGGAUCAUUUCACAGAGAGGUAGUUACGAAGUCAGUCUCUGUGUGUCUGUCUGUCUGCUCCUCAGGCUUCAUGAAAUCAACUUUCUGAAGAUUUAUUGCUCAUUAGAAUAUAUUUUUCAUUCUAGACUCUGAUGAUCGGUUAGUCCACUGUGUGAGCUUACUUAUCUCGGGGAACAAAUGUGAAAAUUCAAAAGCUGCUGUCACCUUCAUAAAGAGCCUUUUGAUGAGUUUUUGACUUGUUUCCACCCCUCCCUCUCCAGAUACCAUAUGUCCUUUCAUUAGAGAACCCUGACACUUCUACAUUCCAGAAAAGAAAAGGAAAUUCUACAGGGAACGGAGCAGAACACUGGUGUUGUAAAUAGGACUCCACUGUGAAUUCAUGUACGACUGAGAGUUCAGAGAGGUUUCAGAUCUGUUGUUUGUUUUUCCAGAUCUGGCAUUUCUGUGGGUCUGUUGGCUUGCUGGUACAAUGGGGUUGUUUUAACCAUUAGUGCCCCGCUGCUACCUUAAGCAUAAGCUUAUUAUCAGCAUCCACUUGUUCAGCCAGGAUUCUGUGACGUCCAUUGCAGUGGGUGAGUCAGAAGCCACAAGCUAACAGGUCUAUAUUCCUUCCCACUGUCACCUAGGAAACCAUCGCAUCAUCCACAGGAAAUGCAGGCCCCGAUGGGGGGUGUGCCCGGAUCGGGUUAUAAAGCUGGCAAAGAGUUUUUUCAAAGGAGGUCAAAUAAUAACAUGCAGAAUCUUGGUCUAAGGUGGGAGGUGAACCCAGCCUCUGUGGCAUGGAUUGAGAGCUGUGGGGCAGAAAUAGCAGGAGAAAUUAAUCAGCGCAAAGCACAUAAGAUGUCUGCUUUAUAAGAAAGUGAUCACGGGCAAGAGACAUACAGAAAUGAUUUGAUUCCCCCAGGAAGCAGUAUUUAUUUACCCGAUGGCUGAGGGUAUUUGGGGAAUGUGCGGUUGUACAGUGUGCGAAAUGAGAUGAAGAAAUUGACAACACAUCAAACCAGGCUUUUCUGUUGAAUGAAAUGCAUGUCUCUGUUUCAUGGUCAUUAUCCCUUAGCUUAAGAAGGUGCUAGGCAGUACCUUGGAGAAAAGCACACAGCGCCCACUGUUUUGUUCUUGUUUGCUGGUGCUGUGCCUGAUUUUUUCUUUCUUUGGCUGCUACAGUCCUUGGUCUGUAUAUCCCAGUUCACUGCACAAUAUUCAGAUACCUGUGGAUAAGCUUAGUGCAGCUGAGAAAAAUUACCUGUACCAUUUCAUGUUGUUCGACAAGCUUGAUGUUUCUGGGAAGCUUUACAUUCCCAUUGCUGCUAUGAGUCAUUCUACGUCAAAAGAUGUGCACCCCCAGGUGUUUUGAGGAGAGAGGAGAGAUAGAAAGCUUGAUCACAAGCUCAGGGAGAUUUAACAGGUGAUAUGGCCGCCUUAAGAGAUUGAGCUGCUUUGACUGAAGGAUGGUGUCCAAGAGAGGCAAUGGGUUCCAAUACCAGCUGGUCAGGUGCCCGACAAGAGUACAUCCAUCCUGAGUACCCAUUGAAGGAAGAGCAAUGACAAUCCUGAGUGUGUUCAGAGGAGGGCAAAGAUGGUGAUGACAGUUCUAGAAACUGUAACCUUAGGACAAUUAAAGAGCAUUAGUCUACUUACCCUGAAGGCCAGAGGAUCUGUCAUGGAAGAGAUGGGAAUGGGUAUCCUCAAAUAGUUGAAGUGCUGUCUCAAAGAGGGUUCAGACUUAUUUUGUGUGCCCACAAAGAGUGAUCAUAAAUUGUUACAAGUUAAAGGGUGGUGGAGUUUAGCUCCAUAUAACUAAUUUUCUAAUCAUUUAAGCUGAUCAAAGUGUAUUAAACUGACUAAUACAACAGUAACAUAAUUUUGUACCUUUGGAGUUGUUCCAAUAUUCCUUUAUUCAUCCAAAAGCAUUCAUUGAGUACCUGCCAUAUGCCAGACAUGUUAGGUACUAAAGAUACAAAGAUGACUAACAUAGUCACUUCCUCCAAAGGAAUCACAGUCCAGUAGAGGUUCUGUGAUCAUUUAAUAUGCAGGGAUUGUGUUUUAGUACAUUUUAUGUUACUAUAACAAAGUACCCAAUGCUGGGUAAAGGAAAGAGGUUUAAAUACCCUCACAGUUCUGGAGGUCCCAGAGGAUGGUACCAGUCUCUGCUUGCCUCUGGCAAUCGCAUUACACCCCAACAUGGCAGAUGGCAUCAUGGUGGAAGUGUGAAUGAGAGAGAGAUAGAACACAUGGCCAGACAGGAAGCAAGAGACAGAGAGUUGAGACAGUCAAACUUGCUUUAUAAAAACCCAUUCUCAGAAGAACUAAUCCAUUCCACGAGACCAGCGUUGUUAUUCUGUUUAGUACCCUACGUUCCUCAUUUCCUUCUAAUAGGUCCAACCUUUUAAAGGUUCUACCACCUCAACAGGAAAAUUCACAUAAUAUUCAAAGCACAUCAGACAGGAUGAGCAGUAAUGUAGAAUGUUGUGGAAGAGAUUCACGCUUUCAUGCCUUGCACAGAAGAUUAGAUGAAGGCACUUUGAGAUUGCUGUCUGUGUUAAUGAAGGCAAUACUAGCUGCUAUAACAACCCCACAAUGUCUUCUGGCUCAUGAAACAUGAUAGGAAGCUUUUUUUUCCUCACCAUAUACACCCAAAAUGGUUAUUUCUGAUGGUGGGUGUCUUGCUUCUAAAUGGUAAUUCAAGGACAGGACCCAGUUCUUUCCAAUUGGUGAUUCUGUCAUCUUCAACUUGCAGCUUAUGGGGGACAUUCUAGGCAUUGGCAUUUUGCUGAUAGAUGGGAGAGAACAUGGAGGAUCUGGGGGAUUUGGUUAUGAGUUGGACCUAGAAAUGAUGCUCAGAUACUCUGCUCCCAUUCUAUCCAAUGGAAUUUAGCUGCAUGUCCACACCUAACCAGGAGGCAGGCGUGAAAGGCAAUCUGGGGGGUGUAGCUCAGUGGCAGGGCACUUGACCAGCAGGUGCAAGGGCCUGGGUUCAAUCUCCAGCAUUGGAGGGGAAAAAACACAAACCCCUCAACUGGUCGAGCUGUUUUGCCAGAAAAGAGCAGAAACUGGUUUCAAUGUCUGGUGGCAGAACCAAGAUAAGGAAUUUGGGUUGGGGGGGGGGGUGCUGAAGAGAUGGGCAGGGUGCUCCAUUUAUUUAUUUUAAGAUUUUAUUUUUAUUUAUUUAUUUUCUUUUUUGACUAAUAAAAUAUGUAUUUAUGGCAUACAACAUGCUUUGAUAUAUACAUGCACUGGGAAAUGGUUAAAUCAUGUUAAUCAACGUAUUCAUUGCCUCACAUAGUUAUUUUAAAAAACAUUUUUGUGGUAGAUGGACAGAAUGUUUUUAUUUUAUUUAUUUGUAUGCGGUGCUAAGGAUCAAACCCAGUGCCUCACACAUGCUAGGUAAGUGCCCUACCACUGAGCUAUAGGCCCAGCCCAGUUAUCAUUUUUUGUUGUGAGACAAAAAUUUUUUUAAAAUUUCUUGUUUAAUGCCAGUAUCAUCAUGUCCCAUGUUUACAGUAAAUGUCUUCCUAUUGAAGGUCUCUACUCAGAUAUAUUAUUAUUACUUACGGUUGUUGUUGUUCAGUGGUGCUAGGAAUCAAACUCAGGGUCUUGCACAUAUGAGGCAAGUGUUCUACCACUGAGCUAUACCCCAACCCUCAAGGUAUAAUGUUAGGCUCAAAAAAAAAAGCAAGGUAGAGCACAAAGCAGAGUAUGCUACUUUGUGUAUGAAAAUGAAAGCAAUAAUACUAUUUGCAUUUGUUUUCAUAUAUGAUGAAACACUGGAAAAGUGAAAGAAACCACAGAGACCCGGAUAAAGGCAGAGGGAGGAUGGAGACAUCAGUGGGAAUGAGAGUUUAUGUAUUCCUUUAAAUACUCAUUUAUUACUUAUUUAUAAAAAUAUAUAAUUUAAAAAACCAAUUUUAUUCUAUUGCAGGAAAAUGUUUCACUGACUGACCUCUUUUUGCGUUCAAAUGAAGAAAAGUCAACAAUAAAAUUUCUUGGGAAUGUAAGCAGGACAUAACUUUUGAGCCUGAGGUAUAAAUAAUGAUGAAUUCUGUGUCUUUCUUGUUAUACUAUACCCGACGAAUUAGAGUUUUUGAAAUAAAAUAAAAGAAUAUUAAUGCAACAGCUUGGUUUUAUGUGA